Molecule: non-coding RNA, 660 nt
Organism: Triplophysa rosa
Lineage: Eukaryota; Metazoa; Chordata; Actinopteri; Cypriniformes; Nemacheilidae
Source: the annotation of a RefSeq genome assembly
UGUCUGUGUGAAGUGAGUCUUGUGUAAAUUAUAGACUCACCAGCUGAAUAAUAAAGCAACAAAUGAAACACAAUUACAUGAAAAUUGUUUGUUGCAUUCGAUGCCUUCAGGAGCAAUACACAGUCUUCAGAUAAAUGAUGUAAAUGUAGAGAGUGAGUUUGCAUUGUGAUCACAUGCUUCAGUGAUCUGAGAGUGUUUAUAGUGCUGUGAGUUUAACACUUCAUGACUCACAACACAACACAACACAAUCUUCAUCAACACACAAAACAACAAUGACUUUCAGCAUCAUCUUCAUCUGGACGCUCACAGUGUUUGCUCAAGAGUGUAGAGGACAGUACACUGUUACUCAGAGUCCAUCAACAACAGCAGUUCAACAAGGACAACAUGUUCAAAUAAAGUGUAAAGUCAGCAGUGCAGUAUUCACAGAUAACAGGGGUCCCCGAAUGAGCUGGUACUUACAGAAACCUGGAGAAGCUCCUAAACUCCUCAUAUAUUAUGCAACAAGCCGCCAGUCUGGAGUGUCAUCUAGAUUCAGUGGCAGUGGAUCAAACACAGAUUUUACUCUGAGCAUCAGUGGAGUUCAGACUGAAGAUGCAGGAGAUUAUUACUGUCAGAGUUAUCACAAUGACCCAGUGUUGACACAGUGAUAAAGAGUCGUUC